AUUGAACGCUGGCGGCAUGCCUUACACAUGCAAGUCGAACGGUAACAGGUCUUCGGAUGCUGACGAGUGGCGGACGGGUGAGUAAUACAUCGGAACGUGCCCGAUCGUGGGGGAUAACGGAGCGAAAGCUUUGCUAAUACCGCAUACGAUCUACGGAUGAAAGCAGGGGACCGCAAGGCCUUGCGCGGACGGAGCGGCCG
This 200-nucleotide ribosomal RNA is filed under the name uncultured bacterium. RNAcentral describes it as "partial 16S ribosomal RNA". It matches the Rfam family "Bacterial small subunit ribosomal RNA", at positions 30 to 232 of the family's 1533-position model. The record is from RNAcentral.